AUACGUAGGGGGCGAGCGUUAUCCGGAAUUAUUGGGCGUAAAGAGUGCGUAGGCGGUUCUGUAAGCGUGAGGUGAAAGCCCGGGGCUUAACUCCGGUAAGCCUUUCGAACUGCAGGACUUGAGUGCUGGAGGGGAAAGUGGAAUUCCUAGUGUAGCGGGGAAAUGCGUAGAUAUUAGGAGGAACACCAGUGGCGAAGGCGACUUUCUGGACAGUAACUGACGCUGAGGUACGAAAGCGUGGGGAGCAAACAGGAUUAGAUACCCUGGUAGUCCACGCUGUAAACGAUGAGCACUAGGUGUCGGGCUAGCAAUAGUUCGGUGCCGCAGUUAACGCAAUAAGUGCUCCGCCUGGGGAGUACGCACGCAAGUGUGAAACUCAAAUGAAUUGGCGGGG
RNAcentral lists this ribosomal RNA (394 nucleotides) under uncultured bacterium. Its description in RNAcentral is "partial 16S ribosomal RNA". It matches the Rfam family "Bacterial small subunit ribosomal RNA", at positions 523 to 918 of the family's 1533-position model. The record is from RNAcentral.